This 178-nucleotide small RNA is filed under the name Cyanothece sp. Its description in RNAcentral is "c-di-AMP sequence". It matches the Rfam family "c-di-AMP riboswitch aptamer (ydaO/yuaA leader)". From Rfam's summary of the family: This family represents a conserved RNA structure found upstream of the ydaO and yuaA genes in Bacillus subtilis and related genes in other bacteria. The ydaO/yuaA element is thought to act as a genetic "off" switch for the ydaO and yuaA genes in its native state. Lineage: Bacteria; Bacillati; Cyanobacteriota; Cyanophyceae; Gomontiellales; Cyanothecaceae. The record is from RNAcentral.
UGAAUAAGUCAGCCUAAUCCAAUAGAUAGCUAACCCUAUUGUUAUAACGAGAAUCUAUUGGAGCGGAGGAACCAAAUUUUGGGGCGUGUUUCUGCCUUGUGUAAAUCUCAACAGCAGAGAGGGACAUCUCUCAGUCCUAGCCCGUCAGCUAACUUCGUAGGCAUUGAGGGAAGAUUGA